AUUAGAAAGUUUCUUUCCAUAUUUAGCACCUUGUACCGGUACAAGGGAAGCUGUCCAGGGUACAGCAUGACGGAAGAUUUUUCUGCGAAGCUUCUGUACCCUGAACAGACUGCAGCUUGUUCCGGAACAGGGCUUGUACCGGUACAGCCAUGAUGGUUGUACCGGAACAACCAUCGUAAAACCCUGUGGCAAUAGCCAAUGUCUGUACCGGUACAGCAAAACCCUUGUACCGGUACAACAAUGCAAUUUUUGCUGAAAAUGCAUUGUUUCGAGUUU
RNAcentral lists this long non-coding RNA (276 nucleotides) under Ananas comosus (pineapple). RNAcentral's name for it is "long non-coding RNA (ACOM_LNC019696)". Lineage: Eukaryota; Viridiplantae; Streptophyta; Magnoliopsida; Poales; Bromeliaceae. The record is from RNAcentral.